AACGAACGCUGGCGGCAUGCCUAACACAUGCAAGUCGAACGAGACCUUCGGGUCUAGUGGCGCACGGGUGCGUAACGCGUGGGAACCUGCCCUUAGGUUCGGAAUAACUCCCCGAAAGGGGUGCUAAUACCGGAUAAUGUCUUCGGACCAAAGAUUUAUCGCCUUUGGAUGGGCCCGCGUUGGAUUAGCUAGUUGGUAGGGUAAAAGCCUACCAAGGCGACGAUCCAUAGCUGGUCUGAGAGGCUGAUCAGCCACACUGGGACUGGGACACGGCCCAGAAUACUACGGGAGGCAGCAGUGGGGAAUAUUGGAAAAUGGGCGAAAGCCUGAUCCAGCAAUGCCGGGUGAGUGAUGAAGGCCUUAGGGUUGUAAAGCUCUUUUACCCGGGAUGAUAAUGACAGUACCGGGAGAAUAAGCUCCGGCUAACUCCGUG
Molecule: ribosomal RNA, 433 nt
Filed under: uncultured bacterium
Lineage: Bacteria
Description: partial 16S ribosomal RNA
Rfam family: Bacterial small subunit ribosomal RNA
Source: RNAcentral